CCCUUAGAUGUCCUGGGCCGCACGCGCGCUACACUGAUGCAUUCAACGAGUUGUUACCUUGGCCGAGAGGCCUGGGCAAUCUUUUGAACGUGCAUCGUGAUAGGGAUAGAUUAUUGAAAUUUUUAAUCUUGAACGAGGAAUUCCUAGUAAACGCAGAUCAUCAAUCUGCAUUGAUUACGUCCCUGCCCUUUGUACACACCGCCCGUCGCACCUACCGAUUGAAUGGUCCGGUGAAGCCUCGGGAUUGUGGCUCGUUCCCUUUAUUGGGAGUUUGUCGCGAGAACUUGUCUAAACCUUAUCAUUUAGAGGAAGGUGAANUCGUANCA
This 326-nucleotide ribosomal RNA is filed under the name uncultured eukaryote. RNAcentral describes it as "partial 18S ribosomal RNA". It matches the Rfam family "Eukaryotic small subunit ribosomal RNA", at positions 1470 to 1796 of the family's 1831-position model. The record is from RNAcentral.